UAAUACGUAGGGAGCAAGCGUUGUUCGGAUUUACUGGGCGUAAAGGGCGCGUAGGCGGCGUGUUAAGUCAGCUGUGAAAUCUCCAAGCUCAACUUGGAACGGCCAGCUGAUACUGAUGUGCUAGAGUGCAGAAGGGGCAAUCGGAAUUCUUGGUGUAGCGGUGAAAUGCGUAGAUAUCAAGAGGAACACCUGAGGUGAAGACGGGUUGCUGGGCUGACACUGACGCUGAGGCGCGAAAGCCAGGGGAGCAAACGGGAUUAGAUACCCCGGUAGUCCUGGCCCUAAACGAUGAAUACUUGGUGUCUGGAGUUUCAAUACUCCGGGUGCCGUCGCUAACGUUUUAAGUAUUCCGCCUGGGGAGUACGCACGCAAGUGUG
This 377-nucleotide ribosomal RNA is filed under the name uncultured bacterium. RNAcentral describes it as "bacterial SSU rRNA". It matches the Rfam family "Bacterial small subunit ribosomal RNA", at positions 521 to 896 of the family's 1533-position model. The record is from RNAcentral.